RNAcentral lists this long non-coding RNA (192 nucleotides) under Felis catus (domestic cat). Its description in RNAcentral is "lncRNA (ENSFCAG00000046827.1)". The record is from RNAcentral. Lineage: Eukaryota; Metazoa; Chordata; Mammalia; Carnivora; Felidae.
UAUUAAAAGUUGUCAAGAUCUAUAAUGGGAGAAGAAACUAGUUAGUUGGCUUUGAGUAGAUUUGAAUCUGCUUUAAAAAAGAUUAGACACUCAAAGUACAAGUUGGAUUUAACACAAACCAAGUCUAAGGGGAGUGAAGGAGAGGAAUAUAAUCUGGAGGAAUUCUCACCAAAGAAAGGCUCAGAAAAAGGC